AAAUUGAAGAGUUUGAUCAUGGCUCAGAUUGAACGCUGGCGGCAGGCCUAACACAUGCAAGUCGAGCGGUAGCACAGAGAGCUUGCUCUCGGGUGACGAGCGGCGGACGGGUGAGUAAUGUCUGGGAAACUGCCUGAUGGAGGGGGAUAACUACUGGAAACGGUAGCUAAUACCGCAUAACGUCGCAAGACCAAAGUGGGGGACCUUCGGGCCUCAUGCCAUCAGAUGUGCCCAGAUGGGAUUAGCUAGUAGGUGGGGUAAUGGCUCACCUAGGCGACGAUCCCUAGCUGGUCUGAGAGGAUGACCAGCCACACUGGAACUGAGACACGGUCCAGACUCCUACGGGAGGCAGCAGUGGGGAAUAUUGCACAAUGGGCGCAAGCCUGAUGCAGCCAUGCCGCGUGUGUGAAGAAGGCCUUCGGGUUGUAAAGCACUUUCAGCGGGGAGGAAGGCGGUGAGGUUAAUAACCUCAUCGAUUGACGUUACCCGCAGAAGAAGCACCGGCUAACUCCGUGCCAGCAGCCGCGGUAAUACGGAGGGUGCAAGCGUUAAUCGGAAUUACUGGGCGUAAAGCGCACGCAGGCGGUCUGUCAAGUCGGAUGUGAAAUCCCCGGGCUCAACCUGGGAACUGCAUUCGAAACUGGCAGGCUAGAGUCUUGUAGAGGGGGGUAGAAUUCCAGGUGUAGCGGUGAAAUGCGUAGAGAUCUGGAGGAAUACCGGUGGCGAAGGCGGCCCCCUGGACAAAGACUGACGCUCAGGUGCGAAAGCGUGGGAGCAAACAGGAUUAGAUACCCUGGUAGUCCACGCCGUAAACGAUGUCGAUUUGGAGGUUGUGCCCUUGAGGCGUGGCUUCCGGAGCUAACGCGUUAAAUCGACCGCCUGGGGAGUACGGCCGCAAGGUUAAAACUCAAAUGAAUUGACGGGGGCCCGCACAAGCGGUGGAGCAUGUGGUUUAAUUCGAUGCAACGCGAAGAACCUUACCUGGUCUUGACAUCCACAGAACUUUCCAGAGAUGGAUUGGUGCCUUCGGGAACUGUGAGACAGGUGCUGCAUGGCUGUCGUCAGCUCGUGUUGUGAAAUGUUGGGUUAAGUCCCGCAACGAGCGCAACCCUUAUCCUUUGUUGCCAGCGGUUAGGCCGGGAACUCAAAGGAGACUGCCAGUGAUAAACUGGAGGAAGGUGGGGAUGACGUCAAGUCAUCAUGGCCCUUACGACCAGGGCUACACACGUGCUACAAUGGCAUAUACAAAGAGAAGCGACCUCGCGAGAGCAAGCGGACCUCAUAAAGUAUGUCGUAGUCCGGAUUGGAGUCUGCAACUCGACUCCAUGAAGUCGGAAUCGCUAGUAAUCGUAGAUCAGAAUGCUACGGUGAAUACGUUCCCGGGCCUUGUACACACCGCCCGUCACACCAUGGGAGUGGGUUGCAAAAGAAGUAGGUAGCUUAACCUUCGGGAGGGCGCUUACCACUUUGUGAUUCAUGACUGGGGUGAAGUCGUAACAAGGUAACCGUAGGGGAACCUGCGGUUGGAUCACCUCCUUACCUUAAAGAA
RNAcentral lists this ribosomal RNA (1549 nucleotides) under Klebsiella pneumoniae. Its description in RNAcentral is "bacterial SSU rRNA". It matches the Rfam family "Bacterial small subunit ribosomal RNA". Lineage: Bacteria; Pseudomonadati; Pseudomonadota; Gammaproteobacteria; Enterobacterales; Enterobacteriaceae. The record is from RNAcentral.